Molecule: ribosomal RNA, 464 nt
Filed under: uncultured Klebsiella sp.
Lineage: Bacteria; Pseudomonadati; Pseudomonadota; Gammaproteobacteria; Enterobacterales; Enterobacteriaceae
Description: bacterial SSU rRNA
Rfam family: Bacterial small subunit ribosomal RNA
Source: RNAcentral
CCUACGGGUGGCAGCAGUGGGGAAUAUUGCACAAUGGGCGCAAGCCUGAUGCAGCCAUGCCGCGUGUGUGAAGAAGGCCUUCGGGUUGUAAAGCACUUUCAGCGGGGAGGAAGGCGGUGAGGUUAAUAACCUCAUCGAUUGACGUUACCCGCAGAAGAAGCACCGGCUAACUCCGUGCCAGCAGCCGCGGUAAUACGGAGGGUGCAAGCGUUAAUCGGAAUUACUGGGCGUAAAGCGCACGCAGGCGGUCUGUCAAGUCGGAUGUGAAAUCCCCGGGCUCAACCUGGGAACUGCAUUCGAAACUGGCAGGCUAGAGUCUUGUAGAGGGGGGUAGAAUUCCAGGUGUAGCGGUGAAAUGCGUAGAGAUCUGGAGGAAUACCGGUGGCGAAGGCGGCCCCCUGGACAAAGACUGACGCUCAGGUGCGAAAGCGUGGGGAGCAAACAGGAUAGAUACCCUUGUAGUC